AGAGACCGGCGCACGGGUGCGUAACGCGUAUGCAAUCUACCUUUCACAAAGGGAUAGCCCAGAGAAAUUUGGAUUAAUACCUUAUAGUAAUACGCCUUGGCAUCAAGAUGUAUUUAAAGAUUUAUCGGUGAAAGAUGAGCAUGCGUCCCAUUAGCUUGUUGGUAAGGUAACGGCUUACCAAGGCAACGAUGGGUAGGGGUCCUGAGAGGGAGAUCCCCCACACUGGUACUGAGACACGGACCAGACUCCUACGGGAGGCAGCAGUGAGGAAUAUUGGACAAUGGGCGCAAGCCUGAUCCAGCCAUGCCGCGUGCAGGAUGACGGUCCUAUGGAUUGUAAACUGCUUUUGUACAGGAAGAAACCCUUUCACGUGUGGAAGAUUGACGGUACUGUAAGAAUAAGGAUCGGCUAACUCCGUGCCAGCAGCCGCGGUAAUACGGAGGAUCCAAGCGUUAUCCGGAAUCAUUGGGUUUAAAGGGAGCGUAGGUGGCUCGAUAAGUCAGAUGUGAAAUCCCCGGGCUCAACCUGGGA
RNAcentral lists this ribosomal RNA (531 nucleotides) under uncultured Flavobacterium sp. RNAcentral describes it as "bacterial SSU rRNA". It matches the Rfam family "Bacterial small subunit ribosomal RNA", at positions 90 to 619 of the family's 1533-position model. Lineage: Bacteria; Pseudomonadati; Bacteroidota; Flavobacteriia; Flavobacteriales; Flavobacteriaceae. The record is from RNAcentral.